RNAcentral lists this ribosomal RNA (335 nucleotides) under uncultured bacterium. RNAcentral's name for it is "bacterial SSU rRNA". It matches the Rfam family "Bacterial small subunit ribosomal RNA", at positions 28 to 334 of the family's 1533-position model. The record is from RNAcentral.
GAUGAACGCUGGCGGCGUGCUUAACACAUGCAAGUCGAACGGAGUUAUCAUUUUUGAAGCAAAUAGCUUGCUAGGAGUGGAGAUAUUGAUAACUUAGUGGCGGACGGGUGAGUAACGCGUGGGUAACCUGCCGUAUACAGGGGGAUAACACUUAGAAAUAGGUGCUAAUACCGCAUAAGCGCACGGUUCCGCAUGGGACAGUGUGAAAAACCGAGGUGGUAUACGAUGGACCCGCGUCUGAUUAGCCAGUUGGCAGGGUAACGGCCUACCAAAGCGACGAUCAGUAGCCGGCCUGAGAGGGCGGACGGCCACAUUGGGACUGAGACACGGCCCAA